Molecule: ribosomal RNA, 920 nt
Filed under: human gut metagenome
Description: bacterial SSU rRNA
Rfam family: Bacterial small subunit ribosomal RNA
Source: RNAcentral
AGAGUUUGAUCCUGGCUCAGGACGAACGCUGGCGGCGUGCCUAAUACAUGCAAGUAGAACGCUGAAGAGAGGAGCUUGCUCUUCUUGGAUGAGUUGCGAACGGGUGAGUAACGCGUAGGUAACCUGCCUUGUAGCGGGGGAUAACUAUUGGAAACGAUAGCUAAUACCGCAUAACAAUGGAUGACACAUGUCAUUUAUUUGAAAGGGGCAAUUGCUCCACUACAAGAUGGACCUGCGUUGUAUUAGCUAGUAGGUGAGGUAAUGGCUCACCUAGGCGACGAUACAUAGCCGACCUGAGAGGGUGAUCGGCCACACUGGGACUGAGACACGGCCCAGACUCCUACGGGAGGCAGCAGUAGGGAAUCUUCGGCAAUGGGGGCAACCCUGACCGAGCAACGCCGCGUGAGUGAAGAAGGUUUUCGGAUCGUAAAGCUCUGUUGUAAGUCAAGAACGGGUGUGAGAGUGGAAAGUUCACACUGUGACGGUAGCUUACCAGAAAGGGACGGCUAACUACGUGCCAGCAGCCGCGGUAAUACGUAGGUCCCGAGCGUUGUCCGGAUUUAUUGGGCGUAAAGCGAGCGCAGGCGGUUUGAUAAGUCUGAAGUUAAAGGCUGUGGCUCAACCAUAGUUCGCUUUGGAAACUGUCAAACUUGAGUGCAGAAGGGGAGAGUGGAAUUCCAUGUGUAGCGGUGAAAUGCGUAGAUAUAUGGAGGAACACCGGUGGCGAAAGCGGCUCUCUGGUCUGUAACUGACGCUGAGGCUCGAAAGCGUGGGGAGCGAACAGGAUUAGAUACCCUGGUAGUCCACGCCGUAAACGAUGAGUGCUAGGUGUUGGAUCCUUUCCGGGAUUCAGUGCCGCAGCUAACGCAUUAAGCACUCCGCCUGGGGAGUACGACCGCAAGGUUGAAACUCAAAGGAAU